GGGGGGGACGGAGAAGGCUAUGUUGGCCGGGCGACGGUUGUCCCGGUUUAAGCGUGUAGGCUGGUUUUCCAGGCAAAUCCGGAAAAUCAAGGCUGAGGCGUGAUGACGAGGCACUACGGUGCUGAAGCAACAAAUGCCCUGCUUCCAGGAAAAGCCUCUAAGCAUCAGGUAACAUCAAAUCGUACCCCAAACCGACACAGGUGGUCAGGUAGAGAAUACCAAGGCGCUUGAGAGAACUCGGGUGAAGGAACUAGGCAAAAUGGUGCCGUAACUUCGGGAGAAGGCACGCUGAUAUGUAGGUGAGGUCCCUCGCGAAUGGAGCUGAAAUCAGUCGAAGAUACCAGCUGGCUGCAACUGUUUAUUAAAAACACAGCACUGUGCAAACACGAAAGUGGACGUAUACGGUGUGACGCCUGCCCGGUGCCGGAAGGUUAAUUGAUGGGGUUAGCGCAAGCGAAGCUCUUGAUCGAAGCCCCGGUAAACGGCGGCCGUAACUAUAACGGUCCUAAGGUAGCGAAAUUCCUUGUCGGGUAAGUUCCGACCUGCACGAAUGGCGUAAUGAUGGCCAGGCUGUCUCCACCCGAGACUCAGUGAAAUUGAACUCGCUGUGAAGAUGCAGUGUACCCGCGGCAAGACGGAAAGACCCCGUGAACCUUUACUAUAGCUUGACACUGAACAUUGAGCCUUGAUGUGUAGGAUAGGUGGGAGGCUUUGAAGUGUGGACGCCAGUCUGCAUGGAGCCGACCUUGAAAUACCACCCUUUAAUGUUUGAUGUUCUAACGUUGACCCGUAAUCCGGGUUGCGGACAGUGUCUGGUGGGUAGUUUGACUGGGGCGGUCUCCUCCUAAAGAGUAACGGAGGAGCACGAAGGUUGGCUAAUCCUGGUCGGACAUCAGGAGGUUAGUGCAAUGGCAUAAGCCAGCUUGACUGCGAGCGUGACGGCGCGAGCAGGUGCGAAAGCAGGUCAUAGUGAUCCGGUGGUUCUGAAUGGAAGGGCCAUCGCUCAACGGAUAAAAGGUACUCCGGGGAUAACAGGCUGAUACCGCCCAAGAGUUCAUAUCGACGGCGGUGUUUGGCACCUCGAUGUCGGCUCAUCACAUCCUGGGGCUGAAGUAGGUCCCAAGGGUAUGGCUGUUCGCCAUUUAAAGUGGUACGCGAGCUGGGUUUAGAACGUCGUGAGACAGUUCGGUCCCUAUCUGCCGUGGGCGCUGGAGAACUGAGGGGGGCUGCUCCUAGUACGAGAGGACCGGAGUGGACGCAUCACUGGUGUUCGGGUUGUCAUGCCAAUGGCACUGCCCGGUAGCUAAAUGCGGAAGAGAUAAGUGCUGAAAGCAUCUAAGCACGAAACUUGCCCCGAGAUGAGUUCUCCCUGACCCUUUAAGGGUCCUGAAGGAACGUUGAAGACGACGACGUUGAUAGGCCGGGUGUGUAAGCGCAGCGAUGCGUUGAGCUAACCGGUACUAAUGAACCGUGAGGCUUAACCUC
RNAcentral lists this ribosomal RNA (1485 nucleotides) under metagenome. Its description in RNAcentral is "bacterial LSU rRNA". It matches the Rfam family "Bacterial large subunit ribosomal RNA", at positions 1465 to 2925 of the family's 2925-position model. The record is from RNAcentral.